RNAcentral lists this ribosomal RNA (148 nucleotides) under Ricinus communis (castor bean). RNAcentral's name for it is "5.8S ribosomal RNA". It matches the Rfam family "5.8S ribosomal RNA". From Rfam's summary of the family: 5.8S ribosomal RNA (5.8S rRNA) is a component of the large subunit of the eukaryotic ribosome. It is transcribed by RNA polymerase I as part of the 45S precursor that also contains 18S and 28S rRNA. The record is from Rfam by way of RNAcentral. Lineage: Eukaryota; Viridiplantae; Streptophyta; Magnoliopsida; Malpighiales; Euphorbiaceae.
GACUCUCGGCAUUGGAUAUCUCGGCUCUCGGCAUCGGAUAUCUCGGCUCUCGCAUCGAUGUGAAUUGCAGAAUCCCGUGAAUCAUCGAGUUUUGAAUGCAAGUUGCGCUCAAAGCCUUUCGGUCGAGGGCACGCCUGCCUGGGUGUCA